RNAcentral lists this transfer RNA (73 nucleotides) under Vicugna pacos (alpaca). Its description in RNAcentral is "tRNA-Ala (AGC) (tRNA-Ala-AGC-316-1)". It matches the Rfam family "tRNA". From Rfam's summary of the family: Transfer RNA (tRNA) molecules are approximately 80 nucleotides in length. Their secondary structure includes four short double-helical elements and three loops (D, anti-codon, and T loops). Lineage: Eukaryota; Metazoa; Chordata; Mammalia; Artiodactyla; Camelidae. The record is from RNAcentral.
GGAGGGUAUAGCUCAGUGGUAGAGCGCAUGCUUAGCAUGCACGAGGUCCUGGGUUCAAUCCCCGGUACCUCCA